UCCUUCUGUACCUUCUGUGGUACGUCCAACUAAGUCUAUUCUUCCUGCUGCUUUGCUUAUAGGAUAAUAUCUUUUCCCCGGUCGUACCUCAUAGCAUUUAUCUGCCACUGGCUUCUGUGCAGGAGAAAAAUUGUAUGAAAGCUGGAUGUGUUUUUGGUGUAAGCGCUG
Molecule: long non-coding RNA, 168 nt
Organism: Oxyura jamaicensis (ruddy duck)
Lineage: Eukaryota; Metazoa; Chordata; Aves; Anseriformes; Anatidae
Exons: 3
Source: RefSeq, a predicted model, not a curated record